RNAcentral lists this ribosomal RNA (497 nucleotides) under uncultured bacterium. Its description in RNAcentral is "partial 16S ribosomal RNA". It matches the Rfam family "Bacterial small subunit ribosomal RNA", at positions 28 to 507 of the family's 1533-position model. The record is from RNAcentral.
GACGAACGCUGGCGGCGUGCCUAAUACAUGCAAGUUGAGCGCUGAAGGUUGGUACUUGUACCAACUGGAUGAGCAGCGAACGGGUGAGUAACGCGUGGGGAAUCUGCCUUUGAGCGGGGGACAACAUUUGGAAACGAAUGCUAAUACCGCAUAAAAACUUUAAACACAAGUUUUAAGUUUGAAAGAUGCAAUUGCAUCACUCAAAGAUGAUCCCGCGUUGUAUUAGCUAGUUGGUGAGGUAAAGGCUCACCAAGGCGAUGAUACGUAGCCGACCUGAGAGGGUGAUCGGCCACAUUGGGACUGAGACACGGCCCAAACUCCUACGGGAGGCAGCAGUAGGGGAUAUUCGGCAAUGGACGAAAGUCUGACCGAGCAACGCCGCGUGAGUGAAGAAGGUUUUCGGAUCGUAAAACUCUGUUGGUAGAGAAGAACGUUGGUGAGAGUGGAAAGCACAUCAAGUGACGGUAACUACCGAGAAAGGGACGGCUAACUACGUG